Molecule: ribosomal RNA, 380 nt
Filed under: uncultured eukaryote
Lineage: Eukaryota
Description: partial 18S ribosomal RNA
Rfam family: Eukaryotic small subunit ribosomal RNA
Source: RNAcentral
CAAUAGCGUAUAUUAAAGUUGUUGCGGUUAAAAAGCUCGUAGUUGGAUUUCUGCUGAGAACGACCGGUCCGCCCUUUGGGUGUGUAUCUGGCUCUUUCUUGGCAUCUUCUUGGUGAACGUUGCUGCACUUGACUGUGUGGAGCGCUACCCAGGACUUUUACUUUGAGGAAAUUAGAGUGUUUCAAGCAGGCAGACGCCUUGAAUACAUUAGCAUGGAAUAAUAAGAUAGGACCUCGGUUCUAUUUUGUUGGUUUCUAGAGCUGAGGUAAUGAUUAAUAGGGAUAGUUGGGGGCAUUCGUAUUUAACUGUCAGAGGUGAAAUUCUUGGAUUUGUUAAAGACGGACUACUGCGAACGCAUUUGCCAAGGAUGUUUUCAUUGA